AACGAACGCUGGCGGCAUGCCUAACACAUGCAAGUCGAACGAGAUCUUCGGGUCUAGUGGCGCACGGGUGCGUAACGCGUGGGAAUCUGCCCUUUGGUUCGCAAUAACAGUUGGAAACGACUGCUAAUACCGGAUGAUGACGAAGGCCCAAAGAUUUAUCGCCAGAGGAUGAGCCCGCGUAGGAUUAGCUAGUUGGUGUGGUAAAGGCGCACCAAGGCGACGAGCCUUAGCUGGUCUGAGAGGAUGAUCAGGCACACUGGGACUGAGACACGGCCCAGACUCCUACGGGAGGCAGCAGUGGGGAAUAUUGGACAAUGGGCGAAAGCCUGAUCCAGCAAUGCCGCGUGAGUGAUGAAGGCCUUAGGGUUGUAAAGCUCUUUUACCCGGGAUGAUAAUGACAGUACCGGGAGAAUAAGCUCCGGCUAACUCCGUGCCAGCCGCCGCCGUAA
This 449-nucleotide ribosomal RNA is filed under the name uncultured bacterium. Its description in RNAcentral is "partial 16S ribosomal RNA". It matches the Rfam family "Bacterial small subunit ribosomal RNA", at positions 29 to 523 of the family's 1533-position model. The record is from RNAcentral.